This 58-nucleotide transfer RNA is filed under the name Cavia porcellus (domestic guinea pig). It matches the Rfam family "tRNA", at positions 8 to 63 of the family's 71-position model. From Rfam's summary of the family: Transfer RNA (tRNA) molecules are approximately 80 nucleotides in length. Lineage: Eukaryota; Metazoa; Chordata; Mammalia; Rodentia; Caviidae. The record is from Rfam by way of RNAcentral.
UAGCUCAGCGGCAUAAGCACCUGCCUUGCAAGCAGGCAGUCGUGAGUUCGAUCCUCGC